AUGAUCCACUUAAAACUUCCUAAGCACUACAGAAUCAACACAAACCCUGCUUCUUUUACAUCCCUGAUCAUGAAUCCACCAUCAAUUUCCUCAGAUUUUAUCCCUAAUAUACCUCAAUCUACUCCAAACGAAACCCUAAGAACCUCGACAACGGUGGACGUUCGGCCUACCUCGACAACAACGGAGAAGGUGAAGUUGUGGUCUGGUGAAGAUUAA
This is a non-coding RNA of Vicia faba (fava bean), 216 nucleotides long. Lineage: Eukaryota; Viridiplantae; Streptophyta; Magnoliopsida; Fabales; Fabaceae. The record is from the annotation of a GenBank genome assembly.